UUACAUCCACUAUUUAAGUUCAUAUAAGCACAGGCGCUUAAUAAACGAUUAUUCAUCAACUUUGACUUUUCCCUUAUCUUUCCCGGACGUACUAGCGUUCUCGGUUUUAACUGAAAACAUUAUAUCCAACGCAAAGGUGAGCAAAAACUUGCUCAGCAAGGAAAUAAGCAGUUGAAUAUAAUGAAACAGAAAUAUUAUAAAAAUGAGGAUUCAAAUCAAUAGAUACCGAACAAGACAGUUCUUUAAAAGUUUUGAGUCUAAAAAUCAGGCUUUAGCAUGCUGUAAGGUCAAAUGACCAGUGAACUCAGUACUUGAAUUGACAGUACUAACACUGCAAUCCAUGGAUACAAACAGUUAUUAAAACUGUUCUAUAUCCUAUACUUGUACUUUAGAGGAUCAACCUAAGUACCCUAUAUUGUGCACAACAUAACAGUCUAAUGACACAUUAUAUGUCCUUCGGAAUCAUAUGUCCGGUACAAUAUGCCCCUAUAAAAGGGUUGUUCAUUCACAACAUUAUAUAUGAGUUUGCACUACAACAAAAUGGUUUGGAAAACAUUGAAUGAGAUUUUCAUGAAUGAAUAAUAUAUCUCAACAGUUAUCUAGCCGAAAUAAUGGCAUUUAUAAAACUAACUGAAUUUGAAGCAUUUACGGUAUAAGUAAGUUGAAUAAUUCGAAAAGAUAGCUUUUACGUUAAAUACUACAAUAUAAACUUAUUUAAGAAAGAAAAGCUCAAUAUACUUGAUAACAUCCUAACUAUCCUUUUGAAGCUGAUUGGAAUAAAAAUGUUAUUUGACCUUGUAUUAUUCAUAAAUAAUGAGAGACCAUUCAGAAUUUAGAGAACCUGUCCAUAUAUGAAUAAUUCUAGAAUACUUGCUCAAUAAAGAGUAAGAGUUAGAAACUUGCCUGGUUUGUGGACUAUUGAUAAGUUUCAGCUUAUUGUGUUCUCACAGAGCCUACACAAAUUUAUUUACAUUUACAAGCAUAUUAGCCAAAUAGUCAAGUCAUAUAGCUUGUGUAUUAACAUAUUACAUAGCCACAUUGAUCGUGUUCUUAGUUUAUGUUAUUAUUUUCAAGAUAUUUAUAUACAUUUUUCAAAUACCUCAUCCAUGUUCUUACCAUAACCAUUUUCUUCUUUAAUAGGGUUUGACAUAAACUCAGCUCAUGAAUCUCAUACACUUUUAGUUCAUGUUCCUUUUGUAUCUCUCUAUACAAAUAUCUUGUAAUUUCCUUCAUAACUUAAGUAUUCAAGGCGAAUACAUAAGAUAUUUCAUGACUUAGUUAUGAUUGUAUAUUAUAGGAAUAGAAUCAUAGUUUCCAAUCUACUUGGUAACUCAUAUUGACAAACUAUUUAUUCAACUUAAUUUACUUCUGAGUUAUGUCAAAAUAGCCCUCUUGUAGUAUUAGUAACUCUAACAUUUCAAACUUGGCUUAGCAGUUCCAAUUAAUUUAGAAGUUUAAUUAUGACAACCGCUAUCUUAUAGAUUACAAACUCAUUUAUAGUAAAUUAUAUGUCUUGGAUGUAACUAAAUCUUGUUUGGUUAUUCUAUAGGUCCCAUAAUCACUUAUAGUUUCCUUUUAAUGCAUUAUUGUGUUAAAUAUACCUGUUUUCCAUCAUAAUACUAAAACAACCCCUUUUUGACAAAGUGUAUCUAGCAGCCCUUCUUGUUGCUCUAAUAGUUCCCUAACAUGGAUUGGUUUGGUUUAGUAGUUCUUUGAUGACUUUUCAUGCCAGCAACCAAGUUUGGCUUGGCCCCGUGAGGCUUAGCUAAGCUUGGUGUGGCCAUGUUUGGCCUCGUAGCCCCAACCCCAACAGUCCACAAUCUUUUAGCUUCUUAUUCCAUAUGUUCGUUUAUUUAGGAGUUAGAAUUUAAGCUUUAUGGGUAAACUAGAAAAUUGAACCAUGAUAUCAACUAGCAUGCCCAAAUAGUCAUUACAGUUGGUCUUAGGUGACUGCUACUAUAACGUCUGAGAAAAAUCGGAUUUUUAUGAGAAUUAAAUUUUAAUUUGAUUGUAUAUAUUAAAUGAAUUUAAUUGAUUAUUUAUGUGAGUAAGCUAUGUGAAGGUCGUUCUAUGACCUAGAAUAUGCGAAUGUGGUUAGGAUUUUGGCCACAUGAUAGAAUUAAAGUGUUUGAAUUUCCAAGAUUAAAAUAAAAGUUUUCUGAGGAAUUUUUGUAAAAAUACUAUUCACAGAUUUCUGCUCGGGAAUUAUUUUUGAACUUCUGAAAAAUGCAUAAUGAUAGAAUUCUAAGACGAGAUGGAAUAUCCAAUAAUAUUUUAGUUAUGGCAAACGAAGUUUUCGCUUGCAGACUUAAAACCUAACGGUUAGGGAAAGUGAUUUUCGAGAAGAAAUUGGAAUGCAUAUAAUGAAUUAAAGUGAUGAUCGUAUAAUACUUGGGUAUUUGUAACAUCCCCGAAUCCGGGUCCCAAAUCGUCACGGAUCCGGUAUACUAUUUCUAUCACUAUUGCGGAAGAUAUAAACAUAAAUUGUUUAUACAUUAAACUUUACACAUCAUUCCCAAGGUCUACAACCUUAACUUAAUACAUACCUUCAAUAUCUUAGAAGAUUUACAAUACUAUUUUCAUCAGAAAAUUUAAUAAAUUUUACUACAACAUAAAGAAACUUUGCACUUUGUCUUUGCCUCUGCCUUAUUCAAGCCUUCAUCUUAAUCUGAAAAUUUUAUCAUGAUAUAGCAAGGGUGAGCAACAAAUUUGCCCAGCAAGUUUUACAUACAAAGGAGAUAUAUCAUGAUUGAAAAGAAUGGAUAAGCUUUCAAGUUUUCAACAAUAUAAUAAUUGAGAAAUAACAUUAAUUAAUUUUUCAACGAUUGAAUGACUGAACCAAUAAUAAUGGAUGUCAACAAUUAACAUGAACAAGUUUAACUGAAACAUAUGGUAAUGAAGGUGAUCAGCCUUUCAUACCUGAUGAACAUAUACAACAUGCACAAUGUGCGAAUCAAUAAUUUAUUGACGUGGUAAAAUCAACAAUGAUUAACCACUAACAUGCUUUAAAUUAACAACUCAAGUUGAGUUAGGAAACUUGCACAAUAAUUAGAAGUUCAAAUUUAGAAACUUGCCUGUACCGUUGAUUACCGCUAAACAAUCAAUUUAAUCUCUUAUAAAAGACCUAUCAUUAAUAAGAUCGAUCCUCCAAUUAGCAUAAUACAUUUUAUCCCACAACACUAUUACUCAAAUAAUAAAUUAGCUAACAUUUAGCCACAUAAUUAAACAUUGCAUAAUUCUUUAACUCAUUAGUAAUAUUAUUAUCUCUUAAUAAUAUUACUAUCACUUAACCAUUAUCUUAAACUUUUGUCUAAUACUUUUAAUCAGUUAAUAGAAUAUUUAUCAUUCACAAAUAUUAUUAAUAACUUAAUAAUAUUUAAAUCCUUUACUAAUAUUAUUAUUCAUUUAAUAAUAUUGUAAUCACCUUCUAAUAUUAUUAAUCAUGUAAUAAUAUUUUACUUGUUUCAUAAAUAAUAAAGGUCUCACACAUUUUAAGAUGCAAAUAUUUUACACCUUGAAACUUAAACCAUUUAAAUUUCAUUUUAGAAAUAUCUUUUACCUCUACUCGCAAAUUCGGAGUUUAAACAGCUAAUGUAUAGCUUUUAUAGUAAAAAUCAAUUUACUAUAUUAUUUCUUCACUUUAAAUAACUUUUACUUCAGUUUGUCCGUUCAUGAGUCAACACUGACUAUUGCCUCAUAUAUAAACAUUUUAUCUCACUAGCACAUUCGCUUUAUUUUUCAUUUUACGAUUAUUCGCAUUUUUGCUUCGUUACGUAAAUCUCAGCUCAAAAACUUCAUUUUGAGCACCGAAAACCUCAAAAUAUCAUUUUUAUGAUUAAUACAAUAUUUCAAAGGUUUUACAUUCUUUGUUCCACCACAAAAUAAUUUUUAUAGGCAACUAUAUAUAUAUAUAUAUAUAUUUCUCGCUUAAAUAUGUAAUUUAUAUUUAUUACAUAUUUUUAUUGCUUUAUUUAUGCCUGAAAGAAAGUUUCUCGGCAUAAAAUAUUACUUAUAGUCAAAUUUCGCACCAUAAGACUUUAUUAGAUUAUUAUGACUUAUUAUUUCUCUAUCAUAUGCCCAAACACAUAAUAUACUUCAUUGAAUAUCAAUUUCAACAAUUACAUUGAAAAAUAUCAUAAAUCUCUUAUUAAAUCUCCCGUCAAAUAUUAUUAAUUAUGCAAUAAUAUUUUACGCUAAGGUUAUCAACCUUUUAAUUACAUUCCAAUCAAAUACUACUAAUAAUAUCUCACUACAAUACUAUUAGUCAUAUAAAAAAAAAUCUUAAGUCAUUAAUCACAUAAAUAAACAAUUAUUUCAAUUGUUUUCCUUUUUAAUAAAUAACUUGCUUAAGCAUUCUAAAAUGCUAUAAACAUUACAACACUUUAAACCCGACCCCAAGCUUCAUUACAAACUUGCAUAAGCCAUGCUCAAGGGUCUCACGCCAUAAAUCACAUUUUUCCUAUUUUUGGACAAUUUUGAUUUUCGAAAAUUUUACCCAGCCUCGCUAAAACGGCCAUAACUCUCGCGUUUUAAAACAUUUUUGAGCGAUUCUUGAGCCCACGCGAAGAUAACUUCCAGGGCUACAACUUUUGUCUCACGACAUUUUUCCAAAAUCAUAACACAUCAGUCCAGAAAUUUACACAAAGGUGGCUGUUCGGAAUUUGAUUAACAGUUUUGAUACACAUCUCCCGAACGCCAUAACUACCUCAUCCGGAAUCGGAAUUAGUCCGUUCCGGAGUCUAUGGAAAGCUAAAUCAGAGUACUACAACAUACCAAAAGCCCAGAAUUUUUAAAGCACAAAAACUGGACGAAAUUGCCCUCGCUACUGACUGCCCCGAAUCUGCCCAUUUUUGGUUAUAAAAACGGAACUGUUUUCACCAAAUCAGUCACUACCCCAUGUAAACUCAACAUUUUUGAGUACUACCACUUGGGUUAACUACUAAACACAUAUAUCUAACAUCCCUUUUUGACGGAUCGCAAAAAGAAGUCAUAGAUUUAAAACGGUGAAAUUUCAAAGUAUAUAGAAAUUUUGAGUUUCUAAACUAGAAAAAAUUUAUUUUUCUCUUCUUUUGGUUUCAAACCAAAUCAACACCCAAAAUAGCUAAAUCCAUACAUGAAUCUAUAUAAAUCACAUAUAUCUUAGGGUUUUAACUCCCAAAUAAAAAAAAAACCCAAAUCAUCAAUUUCAUAAAAUAAAGGAAUAAAGCUUAGAGAGAGAAAUUUUUUUUACCUUCUUCUUCUUCUUCUCUUCCAUCUUCAAUGGAGAUCCUCUUCUCUCCUACCCAUAUAAGGGGCUGCCGAAGCCUCUCUUUCUUCUUUCCAUCCAUGGCUUCGGCCUCUUCUCCUCUCUCUCUCUCACGGUUUUUUGCCGUUCUUCUCUUUCUCUCUUUUCUUUUUUUCUUUCUUGCUCUUUUUCUUUCUACUUUUUCUUAUAUUUUCUUUUCUUCCUU
This 5450-nucleotide long non-coding RNA is filed under the name Panax ginseng (ginseng). RNAcentral describes it as "long non-coding RNA (PGIN_LNC004192)". The record is from RNAcentral. Lineage: Eukaryota; Viridiplantae; Streptophyta; Magnoliopsida; Apiales; Araliaceae.